Zingiber officinale is the source of this 230-nucleotide long non-coding RNA. RefSeq lists it as uncharacterized. The transcript has 4 exons. NCBI's taxonomy places the organism in Eukaryota, Viridiplantae, Streptophyta, Magnoliopsida, Zingiberales, Zingiberaceae. The record is from RefSeq and is a predicted model, not a curated record.
GGGCUUAGAUGAUGCAAUGACAGGAGAGGUUAAAAAUGAUAUGCCAAUACUGUAGACAGAAGUUGAAAACCUAGCCUCGUAAGAAUGCCAGUUGGAUGAGUGCAUCAGGAAAAAUGCAAGAAAGCAUGAGUGUGCUCACUGAAGAAGAAAGUAAUCAAAAGCUGCUUUACCUGAUCGAAGAUGACAUCAAAAGACUACCCUACUUUCAGGUUUUUUACAUGUUUCCCUUU